Molecule: long non-coding RNA, 630 nt
Organism: Oncorhynchus keta (chum salmon)
Lineage: Eukaryota; Metazoa; Chordata; Actinopteri; Salmoniformes; Salmonidae
Exons: 3
Source: RefSeq, a predicted model, not a curated record
GAGAGAGAGAGAGAGAGAGAGAGAGAGAGAGAGAGAGAAGUAGAAACGAUGAUGCAAUGUACAGAUGCUUAUUUUAAAAUAUAAUGGGAUCAGCUACUCAGGGUGAUUACCCAAUAUAGUCUGAGGUUCCUGACGACACACUAACUCAGCCUCCGUCUGAGGUUCCUUACGACACACUAACUAGGCCUCCGUCUGAGGUUCCUGACGACACACUAACUAGGCCUCCUUCUGAGGUUCCUGACGACACACUAACUAGGCCUCCGUCUGAGGUUCCUGACGACACACUAACUAGGCCUCCGUCUGAGGUUCCUGACGACACACUAACUAGGCCUCCGUCUGAGGUUCCUGACGACACACUAACUAGGCCUCCGUCUGAGGUUCCUGACGACACACUAACUAGGCCUCCGUCUGAGGUUCCUGACGACACACUAACUAGGCCUCCGUCUGAGGUUCCUGACGACACACUAACUAGGCCUCCUUCUGAGGUUCCUGACGACACACUAACUAGGCCUCCGUCUGAGGUUCCUGACGACACACUAACUAGGCCUCCGUCUGAGGUUCCUGACGACACACUAACUAGGCCUCCGUCUGAGGUUCCUGACGACACACUAACUAGGCCUCCGUCUGAGG